AGAGAAUCUUACAACAUCAUAGCUCAUCAGGCCGGGCACGGUGGUUCACGCCUGUAAUCCCAGCACUUUGUGAGGCCGAGGUGGGUGGAUCACCUGAGGUCAGGAGUUCAAGACCAGCCUGGCCAACAUGGUAAAACCACGUCUCUACUAAAAAUACAAAAUUAGCCGGAUGCGGUGGUGCUUGCCUGUAAUCCCAGCUACUCAGGAGGCUAAGGCAGGAGAAUCGCUUGAGCCUGGGAGGCGGAGGUUGCAGUGAGCCAAGAUCACACCAUUGCACUCCAGCCUGGGCGACAGAGCAAGACUCUGUCUCAAAAAAAAAAAAAUCAUAGCUCAUCUAGUCUACCCUCCUUAUUUUACAG
This 359-nucleotide long non-coding RNA is filed under the name Homo sapiens (human). RNAcentral's name for it is "non-protein coding lnc-PAX2-3:1". The record is from RNAcentral. Lineage: Eukaryota; Metazoa; Chordata; Mammalia; Primates; Hominidae.